This 3810-nucleotide long non-coding RNA is filed under the name Salmo salar (Atlantic salmon). Its description in RNAcentral is "lncRNA (ENSSSAG00000094526.1)". The record is from RNAcentral. Lineage: Eukaryota; Metazoa; Chordata; Actinopteri; Salmoniformes; Salmonidae.
CACACACACAAAAUAAAGCAGUAGACAAAACUGAAAUAUUCCUUUAUUUCAGAAAAACAGCAAUGUUUCAAAUAGUCACAGUUUGUAGCCCAUGCUAGGCCAGAUGCACAGCGUGAAGCCAUCCACUCACAUGACAAGCCACUAUAUAGCCCAUUCAAACCUGCCUGCAAACAUUAGGACAGACACACUGAAUUAUCCCACUCUUUAAUUAGGAAUUAUCCUACAUUCACUUCUUAUCAACGGUCUCGGUACCGUUUCAAAUAUGCCUAACACAGCAAAAAUAAAAUAUAUGUGAGGAAACUAGUCCUACAACAAAUAUGUAGAGUAUGUCUACAGUGAAAGCCUUGUAUGGCCUGCAGAUUAUUUUAACUGGUUCUGACAAAGUUAUGAACAUGUAUUUAUGAAUCUAAACUAACUAGUAAGUCAUCUAAUUUGAAAAGCAGAAAAAAACUUUACAAACACUUAGUGAGCCAUAUCAAGCGCUGAAUUAACGUAUGCCACCACACAAGCCUGACUGCAGAGUAAAAAAACUUCUACUUUCAUAUGAUAACAAGCACAACACUCAACUGUUUAUACCAGCCUAAGAAAACAUGCUAUACACUCAAAUCAUGGCAUUCCUAUUUCAGAUACAGCUUUUCACCACAAUAAGCUAUAGAGGGUCACUUAAAUAAAUGGACUAUCUAACAGCUGUGUACUCUAUAGCCAUGGUGCUGAGCAGAGAAAGGCUCUACAACAGAGGGGGAGGGAGAAAGUAAAAAGAGAGAUGAAAAUGUCUGCCUUAUGAAAUCUUGAAGAGCGACAUCAUGGACUACGCAAUGGAGUCUAGCUUGAAGAGACAUCACCGACUGUAAAAACCUGACUCAUUCGUUAUCAUGCUCAUUUCCCAAUAUGAAUCACAUGUCUGGCAUGCAACUGAGAAGGUUUGUUCAACUGUAACACUGCAUUAAUAAAAGGUCUGUGGAUCACAAGCUGGAGGAAUACUGAGGUGGUAAGAUAACCUAAUUAAUACUGGUCUCCCAAAAACAAGUCAGUGACUCAGAAAUAGAGUGAUUUCCAAAAGCAGUCUGAUCAAAUUCCCUUUGAGAGUUAAAUACUUGUGAUGUUCACAUUGGAAUCAGCCCAAAGAGUUAAAACAUGAGGAUAGUUAAAGAAUGCUGGUCGCAUUCCUACCCGGACAUGAGGCAAUUGCUGGCUGAGCAUCAGAUGUGUAGUACUGCCUUGGAUGGUGAAAAUCAUAAAACACCAUUGGAGUGAGUCUAGUGUGAGGUUUCUUGGGUGAAGUAAUCUAUGACAUACGAUGCUGUGAGAGUAUCCUUAGCCUUCACAGCUGUAACCAUAUUGAAAACUAAGAAAAUAGAACUCCCAUUGAGAGAAAUCCUUUUAAAGGUUGUGCAGAUGAACCAGUAGUAAACUCCCAGGUGUUUUGUGACUGUGCGCAUCUAAAAAGUUGAGAAGAGUAAUGUAUUGUACUAUAUGACUGACUAUCUGCAGUGUCACAUGUUCGGUUGUAAAGCCUAUAUAGAUGGACCAUUUCUAAACGGCUCCGAUGUGAUACAAUCGGAAGAUGUACCUCUUCUUGGAACAGGUGGAGUACAUUAGAAUAAUAUAUCAGAUGUUUGUUUCCAUAAAGCAGGCAUUAUCAGAACAUAUACACAGACAAUUCCCUGAUGCAAGACGGGGAGACAAGUUUUAUACUACAGAUAAAAAUCAAGGGUUAGGGGCCAAUGUGUGUGGAAGGGUUAAAGUGUGGGGGAAGGCACAUACAUCCCUUGUCUUCCUCAGGGUAGAUAUAUCAUCCAGGGGCUCCAAGUGCUUACUGUGAUGAAUAGAAUGAGAAGUAAAGUGACAUAAAAACACAUGGCAUCAAGACUGGUGCAUGACAGACAAGAGACAGAAAAAGUAAUAUAAACAAGUAUGCAUCUAAUAACCAAGGAAAAACACUAUCGUUUUAGGUUACACAAAAAGGGAAAUGUUCCUUGUGUAUUGUAAUCUAACGUAAACCUGUGUAGUGUUUUACCCUGGUGAAUAGAUGCCUACUUAGAGAAGUGACUACAGAAGUUCAAUACCUGUCAGUUGGUUCAACUGCAUCUUCAUCCUAAGGACCCGUCGCUUGCCCUGAAGACCAACGUGGUGAGAUCACAUGAGAUCACAAUACUCUGACUAACACUGAAAUGGCAGUAGCCUGUUAAUCUCGGUUUCAAAAUGUGAGAUACAGAAUCUUACAUUUGAUCACCCGGUUGUUGCAGGUCAAAAAACUGCAAAGCAGGAAAUGCAAACGUGUAGUCUAUUAAAAGGUUUAAAAAAGGCUUCUGAAGUUUGUAAUUUCUUCUUAAACAUUUCAGACUUAAUUUGCCCCAACUAAAAAUGUAUCAACCCCUACCAAAAAUGUCCAUGAAUUAUAAUCCACAUAAUUCACAUUUCCGGUCGCUGCAAGAUUAUUUUCCUGCUGUGAGAAACGGGUCAAGUUAAGAUCCUACCUCUGUACAACUACGAGUACUAGUAUGACUGGUCGCAUCAUCGGUUACAUUUAGCUCAAAUAGAUCAUUUUCAACAAAAUCCUGAAUGCCUGUGCAUUUAUAAACAGUGUCAGUCCUAUUUUUGUUUUUAAUAAUCUACUCAUCCAACUGAUCAGACAUUCUAUUUAUUUACCUUUAUUUAACUUGGCAAGUCAGUUAAGAACAAAUUCUUAUUUUCAAUGACGGCCUAGGAACAGCGGGUUAACUGCCUUGUUCAGGGGCAGAAUGACAGAUUUUUACCUUGUCAGCUCAGGGAUUCGAUCUUGCAACCAUUCGGUUCCUAGUCCAACGCUCUAACCACUAGGCUACCUGCCGCUAGGCUAGGCUACUUGAUCAGUGGGCAUCCUGUUUAUUUGUCAAAUUACCUGUUACCUCAGCAGCAGGGGCCUCAUCUUCGUCUGGGAUAAUCCUGCCGGUCAUGGGGCCAACCCCCAGGACUUUGGGCCUCUUGUCUGACUUGCUCGCUCCCUCCAGCACCACUACAAUAUACUCCUUAGCAGCUGGCUCCUCUUCCACCGCAGCUGGCGCCUCUUCCACCGCAGCUGGCGCCUCUUCCACCGCAGCGUCUGCCUCCACAGGUGCAGCGUCUGCCUCCACAGGUGCAGCGUCUGCCUCCACAGGUGCAGCGUCUGCCUCCACAGGUGCAGCGUCUGCCUCCACAAUCUCUGCUGCGGCAGCCUCAAUUGGAGCUUCUUCGUCUGCAGUUGGAGCCUCUUCUAUGGGUGCGGCCUCGACUGAAGCUGCUUCUUCUGCAGCUGGGGCCUCCACUGGGACAGCCUCCUUGACUUCUAAAACUACUUCUGCGACUGUUGCCACCGCCAAAGCAGAGGCUGCUGCCAUAGCGACUGGUGCCACUGAAAAACAGAACCAAGCCAUCACUCACAUCACAAAAAGACUCAAUAUCUCCAACUCAAUCAACAUACAGUGCAUUCGGAAAGAAUUCAGACCGCUCAACCUUUUCCUCACUGUCACGUUACAGCCGAAUUCCAAAAUGGAUUAAAUAAAUAAAAAUCCUCAAUCAACACACACAAACACAAUGACAAAGCAAAGACAGGUUUUUUGAAAUUAGCAAAUGUAUUAAAAAUACAAAACAAAUACACAAGUAUUCAGACCCUUUGCUAUGAGACUCGAAAUUAAGCUCAGGUGCAUCCUGUUUUCAUUGAUCAUCCUUGAGGUGUUUCUACAAUUUGGGGUCCACCUGUGGUAAAUUAAAUUGAUUGGACAUGAUUUGGAAAGGUACACACCUGUCUAUAUAAAAGGUCCCACAGUUGACAGUGCAUGUCAGAGUAAAAAC